RNAcentral lists this transfer RNA (84 nucleotides) under Saccoglossus kowalevskii. Its description in RNAcentral is "tRNA-Leu". It matches the Rfam family "tRNA". Rfam says of the family: Transfer RNA (tRNA) molecules are approximately 80 nucleotides in length. Their secondary structure includes four short double-helical elements and three loops (D, anti-codon, and T loops). The record is from RNAcentral. Lineage: Eukaryota; Metazoa; Hemichordata; Enteropneusta; Harrimaniidae.
GUCAGGAUGGCCGAGCGGUCUAAGGUGCCAGACUCAAGUUCUGGACCACGAAUGUUGGCGUGGGUUCGAAUCCCACUUCUGACA